UAAAAGGCCCUUUUGAGGGCCGCAAAUAUAUUCGAUGCAACGCUA
Molecule: non-coding RNA, 45 nt
Organism: Papilio machaon (common yellow swallowtail)
Lineage: Eukaryota; Metazoa; Arthropoda; Insecta; Lepidoptera; Papilionidae
Source: Rfam